GAUCACAAGGUGCUGCACACGCCACGGGCUCCAGGUUCCCAGUGAGAGAACUUUAAGAAGAUGAUGACAACAGACUUGGCCUUGGAUCAUAAUCUCCCAACAGUGCUGUCAAGGAGUUCAGCUGAGGAGCACAUGUGCACGUUUCCUCAAUGGUCACUCCUGGAGCCACGCUUCAAGACUCAUCUGUUCUCACUCAGAGAGCUUUCUAAUUCAAGAGGAGCUAGGAGUGGGGGAUAACAAGUAGGAAAGCAGAUAUUUGAGUUUUUAACCUCCACCAUAAAUGAAGAUCACAAGACAAUGAACAUCAGCUGGAAGCAUUUGUUCUUCAUUUGGUAGCAAAUGACAAAGCUCUGAAAUGUGGCUGAUUGGAGGUGUGCUCUAAGAAGCUUAAUCUAGAAAAGAAAAAUAAAAUUAAUUGCAAGGGGAAAACAGAGGUGUAAAAAACAAGUAGAUGGCCAAUUCAUCAUUCAAGUAAGAGAUAAACAAGGUUGGAGUUCCAUGGAAUGAGUGGCAAUGGAAAGAAAAAGACACAUGUCAGAGGUACUGCAGAGAUCGAAUCAGGCAAGAUAUUUAAUUGGAAGAAGAGAUGGAGAAAGAGACAAGCAAUCGAAAAUGACACUGAUAUUCCAGACCAGGGUAAAAGGCAGUUCCACUAACAGAAAUAGAAGUGAGUGAAGUCUGAAGUUGUUGCUGAUUUUCCCAAGGAAGAUUAUCACUUGCUUUGGGGCAUGCUGAGUUUGUGUUGCCUGCUGAGCAUCCUACUGGAGAAAUACAUCUAGAUAUAGAGCUAUUCCUGAAAGUCAACAGACCAUAGCAAUUAAAAGCAUGGGCUUUGGAAUCAGCUAGAGCUCAGAUUCCUCAUCCACAAUAUGAAGGUAAUAUCAGAUCCUACUUUCCUGGAGAAGCCUAACUGAGGAAAUAUUUAAUGCACAGUGACUGCCUCAUAAAAAUUUUUAUGUAUUUGAGCUGAGGAGUAGCUACAUGUAAAUGCUCAUGGAAGCUAUGAGAAUGGGAGAAAUAACUAAAAACAAGACUGUAGAAAGAGAGCAUGUGAUGUGAAUGCCACUCAAAAACAGUGAGAAACACAGUGAUAACUAAGCCAACCUUUUAGUGAUUCUGGAUUCAAGACUGGAUGUGGAAUUAUGAACCAAAAGGCCCAGGGAUACGAUAUAUCUGCUCUUAAACACCCAAGAGGCCUCUCUCUUUCGGCACGUUGAUUGUCUAACUCUGUUUCUAUGUAGAUGCCUGGUACACUUAUCUCCAGUAUUGUCUACUGAUCUUAGAGUCCAUCACUCGGUAGAGAGGACUGGUGAGUCAGGAAAGUCUUGAUGCCUGGAUGAAUGGAUAGAUGGAUAGAUAGACAGACAGACAGAUAGAUAAAUAGAUAGAUAGGGGAGAUGGUGUAUUGUGGAGCACUGCCUGAAAUUAAAAGGAUUCUGUCAGAAGAUCUUAUACAAGGUUAAUUAACUUAGAGAUACAGUAGACUCCUGGCAUAAUAAAUUUAACAUUUGUAUUUUCAGCCUCUCACAAAAGUUGAUGAUAUGCAGACAAAAGAGAAAAUUGGCUAGGGAGUAAGCCUACAUAACUGUCAGCAUUUUUAUCUCAACACGUCUCUCUUGUAAAAAAAAAAAAAAGAAAUUAUCCAUUUCCAACUCUCUUUCCCAAAUAUUUAACCCAAAAACUGGAAAUAAAAGUAAAGAAGCCAGUGAGAGCACUGAUUGGUUGCUAAGAUUGGCAUGUUCAAUUCAGCAGUGACUUGGUGCCUUAGAAUGAUAUGAAUAUCUUCUAUGGAAAUAAAAUCACUUGAUGAACAGUUUUCAUCUAUACUGCAGUCAAAAGAAAAAUUGUUCACUUAGUAAGAAAGAAAACUUUAUCAAAAGUUGAAAAGAUUGUUAAAAUGUGAUGUUGCAUAAACAUCUUACAUGUUAAUUUGGGAAUUCAUGAGGUGUCAUGUGUCAUGUGUGUGCAAUAUUGGUUGGUUAAGGGCAUGCCUUUUUAUAGGGAAAUACCCUUUAGAAAAACAAUUGGUCGGGGACCAGGCCCGUGGCAUAGUGUUUGGGUUCACACGCUGUGCUUUACUGGCCUGGGGUUCACAGGUUCGGAUCCCAGGGGUGGACCAACAGACUGCUUAUCAGGCCUUGCUGUGGCGGCAUCUCACGUAUAGAAUAGAGGAAGAUUGGCACAGAUGCUAGCUCGGGGACAAUCUUCCUCAAGGACGAAGAAGAGGAUUAGAUCAUUAGGCAGAGAAAUAGGACUUUAAGUCUCAGUUUGCCACGUAGCCACUUACUUCUGCAUCUUGUCACAUAAAUAAGCCUUGGCAAGUAUGUCACAGAAUCAGCCCAGUCCUCAGUUUACUUAUCACAGAAGAAAAGACGGUGAAUGGACUGUACUAAAUGACCGUUAGCUCUAAGAACUUUCCAGGUCUGACAAUUUAUGACACUCUAUAGAAGUGGAUUCUGCAAUAUGUAUUGUGUUAAUGUUCCAUUCUUUUUUUACACUCCUUUAAAUUAUAUGUUUGGGAUGAGUAAAAGAGUCUCACGUGUUUUCACAGAAGACCUUGAUUUUUGUUAAUUUUCCCCGGUACUGGGUUCCAGAGUGACUGAUAAAAUGGGGCUAUCAGGUGAAGGCAAUUUUCCAAGCCUUCUCAUUAGAGUAAGCCUAGAGAUCGCUUCCUAAGAACAAGAUAUGAUUUUGAAAAAUUUCUAACUAGCCAAGAAAAUCACAUAGGGCCUCUUUUGGCUGCUUCUUGUGCUCAGUUGUACUAGUUCCUCAACAGAGGCCAGCAUCUACUUGGAGUUUGCUGUCUUUGUCAAGUUCCUUUUAUUCAAGCAAGAGGCAGUGGUGGAAAGUUUCACCAAAACAAAAUUCAAAAGUGCCUCAAAUUAGGACAUAUAAUCUGUCUUUGUGGCUCAGUUAUAGUUCUUGACCAAACCUUGCCAGAGGGAGUGCAGCACAGGUUAUGGGGCCCGGUCUCCAGCUUCCUCACACAUAUCUAGAUUCAGCAGGAACGGCUCUAAAUGGAACAAAAUAAAACCCUUAGAAUGGUUUUUCCUCAAAGGAUACAUUGAUUGCUCUUCUUCGACUGAAUUCUGUUCAUCUUGAUAUACUGAAGAGCAGUUCGUAGUAAGAAAAGAUAUUUUUCAACAAUAUUUUUUAUAAUAAUUAUUAUCACUUUAAAUUUGAGGGAUUGAAAAUGUAUUUGGAAAUAUUUGACCUAAAUUAGUUAAAGUUGCACUGACUUUAGAACAUAUUCCAUUCUUUGUGGCUGACACUACAAAAAUAUUCCCCAUCUGCCAAGCUCCGAACUCAACGCAUUCGGGAGAAGACUCAGAAACCUGCUCCACUGGCUAGCUCCGACUGUUAAAACAGAAACUCGUUCAAAACAUAGAACAUUUACUGACUUGAGAUGGUCAAGGACCCCUUGGAGAGAUUACAAAGCAUGCCAAAUAGAUUUCAGGCAAUUAAGAUCAUAAUAAAAAGUACAUCCAGAAUAUCAAGAAUUUACAAGACAGAGCCAUAUUAUUUCUGAAGACUUUAUGGCAUGUCCUUUUAACAAGUUUUAAUAGCUCUUCCUUGAAUAAAAUGCUCACAAUGAAACUGGAUAAUCAAAAUUGCUCUCAGCCUCUUUGCCUGAGUCAGAUAGUACUUGCCAGAGUUUUUAGAGUAGCAUCAGAAAAUACUGAUGCCACUAAAUCACUUGCUUCAAGAUCAGAGCCCUCUAAUUUUAAAUCACUGAUCAAACUAAGCCAUUUGGAGGCGCCCUGAUUUCUCUUGCUUCUGAGGCUUAUUAUAUUCAUUACCUCACUUCAACCAGGUUCUGGAUGACUUGUUUCUGUUCUAGUUAGAGCCGAUGUAAGAACGGUUUAAUGAUACUAAUAAGUAUGGGCCUGAGUCUGCCAUCCCUGUGGCCAUGCAACUUCCAUAAAGUCAAGAAGCCCUUUCAAAGCGCCUUAACCUUGAGGAUUCAUGUGCUGUCCAUAUGGGAAGACUUGUACAUCUUUAAGACGAUUGCUUCUUUGUUGCUAUUAUUAUCUUCUCAAAACAAAUAGAACAAACAGUGCACGUCAUGCCCAUCUUUUUCAGAGAAGAUAUCUUCAGAAAGCCCUUAAUGGGCCAACUGGAAACUGUUCUAACAGUACAGUCUUUCCUGGUUUUUCAAUUUACUACAGGUGGAUAAUCUCGGCAAAACCCAAGACAGUGAACAGAUUGAAUCACUUUUAACAGUUUGAGUCUUGAACGAAUUCCAAAGUGCUUAGACUCAAGCUGUUUUGCUUUCCUUUAACUAAUACCUCAAAUAAAGAUUAAAUAAUUUUUCUUUGAAAACUGGCCCAAAGUACUGGAAAAUUGCAUGCUUUUGAAAACCACAUUCAUUAUAAAAUGAGCAUUUGAGCAUUAUAAUUACACUGAUAUUUUAACUGGUGUUGCCAUAAAUUUAGGGGCAGGGACUGUCUCUUCAAAUCUUUCUUUGGUAUGCUGAAGUUCUCUUAAAGAGACACAAUUCUAAUAAAU
Molecule: long non-coding RNA, 4509 nt
Filed under: Equus asinus (donkey)
Lineage: Eukaryota; Metazoa; Chordata; Mammalia; Perissodactyla; Equidae
Description: lncRNA (ENSEASG00005035541.1)
Source: RNAcentral